CCUACGGGUGGCAGCAGUGAGGAAUAUUGGUCAAUGGGCGGAAGCCUGAACCAGCCAAGUAGCGUGCGGGAUGAAGGCCCUGCGGGUCGUAAACCGCUUUUGCACGGGGGUAAAACCCUCCACUUGUGGAGGUCUGCAGGUACCGUGCGAAUAAGGGCCGGCAAAUUCCGAGCCAGCAGCCGCGGUAAUACGGAAGGCGCGAGCGUUAUCCGGAUUCAUUGGGUUUAAAGGGAGCGUAGGCGGGCGUUCAAGUCAGCGGUAAAAUCGCGCGGCUCAACCGCGCCCCGCAGUUGAAACUGGGUGCCUUGAGUGCACAACAGGCAGGCGGAAUUCGUGGUGUAGCGGUGAAAUGCAUAGAUAUCACGAGGAACCCCGAUUGCGAAGGCAGCCUGCCGGGGUGCGACUGACGCUGAGGCUCGAAGGUGCGGGUAUCAAACAGGAUUAGAUACCCUUGUAGUC
Molecule: ribosomal RNA, 459 nt
Filed under: uncultured bacterium
Lineage: Bacteria
Description: partial 16S ribosomal RNA
Rfam family: Bacterial small subunit ribosomal RNA
Source: RNAcentral